UCAUAGCGCGACAUCUAUCUUCAUUGGUGUAGGAUGUAUUAAUUGAAGGCUACAAUGAACCAGAAUAUGGCCAGUGUUAUAAAGGGAUUAAUUGCUGGUUCACUUUUAUGUUUUUAUUUUUAUGAAAUACAGGCCAGUAGCCAUGUUUGUACAGCACAAGAAUCUUACCAAGAGAGUUACACUACAAACUGUGGAUUUUUUGGUUGGAGUGGAUGCACAAGAUAUAGAACAAAAUACAGGACUAGAAGUUUUUGUUGCACUGGGUGGAGAUCGGUUGGUUCCGAUUUGGCGUGUGAUCAUGCUAUAUGUGAUAACAAGAUUGACCCAUCAGCUUGUGAUAACUAUUUCCCCAACUCCCAUAUAAAAUAUAGUGAUGGUAGUAUUCAAAGAUAUAUAUAUGGUACAUGUCCAAAUCCUGAACAAUGUAGCUGUUCAAAAGAUGGUUUCUAUUCGGCUGGCCCCACAUGUGAGAUGUGCUCAGCUAUUACAAAUUGUGAUCUGGAAACGUGUACAUCAUCAUCAAACCAGAGGUGUUCUAGAUGUGAAGGAGUACGAGAUGAAAAACCUGGCUUUAGAGCUUAUGUUGUUUCCAGUGAUAAAAAACGUUGUACAAAGGCGUGUUCCUGGCGAUCUGAUAGUACUCCAUGUUAUCCCGGAAGCUGUGCUAAUGAACUGGCAUCAGAUUGUAUAUGUACGUCAGAAUUUACGGGAUCAAAAUGCGAUAAAAUAACCAAUAGGCCGUCUAUAAAAGAGAAUAUACUAAGUCUGACAGCCAACAAUGGCGGUAAAACUGAUGCACCAGGAAAUACAAAUACUGGACCAGUUCAAGAUACUGUAUGGACUAAUAUGGUUAAUCCUGUUAAUAUUCACUUUAGAUUUACUGCAGAUUACCACCCAGUUGUGCCUUCUCGACAGGUGUAUGUCAAGGAUUUUAAAGUUGGCAUUAUUAGUG
Long non-coding RNA from Patella vulgata (common limpet), 952 nucleotides. RefSeq lists it as uncharacterized. The record is from RefSeq and is a predicted model, not a curated record. The transcript is spliced from 7 exons. Lineage: Eukaryota; Metazoa; Mollusca; Gastropoda; Patellidae.